AGGAAAGUGAGGUCAAAUGUCCAAUUUGCAUACAAACAUUUCCAGUGUCAGACAUUGAGCUCCAUGCAAGCCUCUGCAGUGAAAGCAUGGAGAAGAACCUUUGCCAGCUUAACACUGCUGAACCAUGCUCCAGCCUGGAUCAAAUAUCAUGUGAAGAGGAUGUUCUUCAGUGGGUAAUGACACAGGUUGACCGCAGCAGGAAUUUUGAAAUCUGUGUGUCCAGAGAAGGUAUGGUUGACAAAGGUCUGAAACUCUGGAAGCACAGAAAGAAUUGGCAGUCCACUGAACCCUUUGAAAGUUUCCUCCCUGGGGGAACCAGGAGUUGACACCGGUGCACUAAGAAAAGAGUUCCUGUCCACAAUGGUUGCUGGAAUCGAGAGACGACUCUUUGAAGGGGAAAGUGAAAAGGGAAAAGUGCCAAAAUACUCUCUCAACG
Molecule: long non-coding RNA, 436 nt
Organism: Epinephelus fuscoguttatus (brown-marbled grouper)
Lineage: Eukaryota; Metazoa; Chordata; Actinopteri; Perciformes; Serranidae
Exons: 4
Source: RefSeq, a predicted model, not a curated record